CCUACGGGAGGCAGCAGUGAGGAAUAUUGGUCAAUGGACGAGAGUCUGAACCAGCCAAGUCGCGUGAAGGAUGACUGCCCUAUGGGUUGUAAACUUCUUUUAUAUGGGAAUAAAAUGUUCCACGUGUGGGAUUUUGUAUGUACCAUAUGAAUAAGGAUCGGCUAACUCCGUGCCAGCAGCCGCGGUAAUACGGAGGAACCGAGCGUUAUCCGGAUUUAUUGGGUUUAAAGGGAGCGUAGGUGGAUUGUUAAGUCAGUGGUGAAAGUUUGAGGCUUAACCGUAAAAUUGCAGUUGAAACUGGGAGUCUUGAGUACAGUAGAGGUGGGCGGAAUUCGUGGUGUAGCGGUGAAAUGCUUAGAUAUCACGAAGAACUCCGAUUGCGAAGGCAGCUCACUGGACUGCAACUGACACUGAGGCACGAAAGUGUGGGUAUCAAACAGGAUUAGAUACCCGAGUAGUC
Molecule: ribosomal RNA, 460 nt
Filed under: uncultured bacterium
Lineage: Bacteria
Description: partial 16S ribosomal RNA
Rfam family: Bacterial small subunit ribosomal RNA
Source: RNAcentral